AUUUUUCUGCCGACGUAUUUUCACAUUAUGGACAGUGUGGGUCUUCAUUAAAUAGCAUUGUGUUGCAUUCUGACAUCCUCUGCCAGUUUAUUGGUAACAAGCGGUGCAUUUUAAGGGUAUAAAGGGCUUUUAAUUACAUUGGCGCUUUGGCAUGUCAUAAAGAGGACGUGGCCAAAGCACCACUCAAAAUGCAUUCAAACACAAACGACAGCACAGAUCUCUGUGAGGUUGUUUAUUUUAUCUCUGCAGUAUGUUCGCAAUAUUGUUAGCAGUGAAAUCUGGUGAUUGAUUGUAAGGGGGGAGUAGUGACUCUUAAAGUGGGUCAGUGUUUGAGCUUCUGGCGGGAUUAUACUUCCUGAGAAGCACACAUAUGUGAGCUGGGUUCCAGUCAUCAGAACAUUUCUUUGUCCUCCCUUCAUCGUAUUUUUGCACUCUCGUUUUAUUUCUUCGAAAUAAACGAUGUAUACUAUGCUAUCUCUGGUGUGAAAUGUGCGCUGUGGGGGACCCCCUGAGGCAUUAUAGCAGAAGUCGACCCUUGUCAAAACCCAAGCUUUGAUAUUUCGGAUGUUACGUGUUCUUGUAAAUAUUAACUAAAUCUAUUUUUUUGUAUUCUCUUUGAUGGCAGCAGACAGCGACUGUAUAACUGAUGUGAAACUAUACAUUGUAAUAAGAUAUGAAUGAUGUAUUCUACUUUACCCGUAAUGGGCAGUGUUGAACUUCUUGGAUUUGAACAGACCUUUUUAAGCAUAAUAGUUCCAUAAUCAUAAUGAACUGAGUAUGAGAAUUCUCUGUGUGUCUGUCCAUAUUCUUUACAAACCUUUGCCACACUUUGGAAAUGUGCUGAGAGUACAGAGAAGGCUGGUUGGUCCAUGAAUGUUAAAACUGCAUAAAUUUGCAGCAAACUGUUAACUGCACUUAUAGUAUUUAAAUUUACAUGUAUACAUACACAUUAUACAUCAUGGUCAAAUUGGCCUUCAUCAGUCAUCGUUCAAAUUGUAUUUUCCUCUUGCCAUUUACAACAAUAAAACCAGUUUAUUUAUAUUUGGACCUUUGUGGUUUUUGCAACAUGAUCAUUUUCUUCCUCAUCUAUUAAGAUUAGGAUUAACAUGUAGCCUGGAUAAUGUUGACAUAUAUUUACAGUAAAUUUCAAUUGGCCUUUAUGUCACUGCAUCCGGCUGGAAGAGGACCUGUAACAGCUGUUAAACCAAAGUUCAAAAAGUCACUAGUAUUCUAUUUGACGUUUUAUUUUCUGUGUCUCUUCCAGCAUGUUCACAAGUCAACUUCACAAGAUGCCCACUUCCCUUCACCGUACAGUACCUUAUAUUCCCAUUCAUACUUUCAGUAUAACUUUUCUGGGAUAACUGACUACACAAUAAGGUACAGUCCACCCCUUGCACAAUUGAACGAGGUUCAAUAAAAGAUGAUGAUGCUCAGUUGAAACAAUAAUUCACACAAGUGAUCAUACUGGGUAAAAGAAUCACCCUUUACUAAAACUUAUUCUUGGUUCACGUUUCAUUCGUGUAACACACACUGUAUACUGUAACCAACAUAUCUUUUGCUCGUUCUACGUCCACUAAUGACAAGAAUAUUUUGAAGAUGUUUAUUAUUCAUUGCCAAGAAAAAAAAACAAAAUGGCAAUUUUACGGAUGUUAAGUCAAAAGAGAAGAAGGGUAUACAAGCUUUUCAAAUAUGGGGUUUAAAGUUAGCAUGUCUUUCUACUGUUAGAGACGGAGAAAAAUUAGACAUUUCCUAUUAGUAAACAUGUCUUAAAUUAACAACUAAAGGGAUUAGUGAUUGAGAGUAUAAUACUACCUAUACAUCUACCUUGUCUGCAAUUAUAGUGACACUGUCAAAAGCCAUAAAUGAGCCACUUCCAUGACAAUCUUGCAUCAUUUACAUGUAAACAUUCAGUGAAAUCUAUCAAUCAUCACAAUCAUUACUUGCUCAGCCACAUAGUCAGGAACAGCAAGAGAAAAACAACAAAUAAACAGUAGCAAAUGUAUAAUACAACCCCCAUCCCUGUAAUUAGCCCUAAAACCAAAUAAGUGCCAGCAAAAGGUCCCUUAAGGCUGAGUUGUUGACCCCAGGGUUCAUACCUGCUUGUUCGCUGUUGACUCUCCUCAGAAGAAGAUUGUACUUGAGCAAUCGUGUCAGUGUUGGGAAGAAGUAAGACACAUUGUACCUAAGUAUAUGUCGGCCAUUUUGAGAUGAUGAAGCUAUUGGCUGUAUUUGGUGCAAAUGUGCAACUAUUCAUCACAUUUUCCAAUCCAAUGACUUGAUAACAAUGUAAAAUAAAAUUUUACUGAUCGCAAUCUUUCCCUCAAUGUGGCAAUCAAUGACCGCCUACUCUUUUCUGGAACAUAUAUUUGUCUUUAUUACAAUAUUGCGGUACCUUGAU
Molecule: long non-coding RNA, 2398 nt
Organism: Hippocampus comes (tiger tail seahorse)
Lineage: Eukaryota; Metazoa; Chordata; Actinopteri; Syngnathiformes; Syngnathidae
Exons: 2
Source: RefSeq, a predicted model, not a curated record